GGGCCGGUAGAUCAGUUGGAAGAUCGCCACCUUGGCAUGGUGGAGGCCACGGGUUCAAAUCCCGUCCGGUCCA
RNAcentral lists this transfer RNA (73 nucleotides) under Thermoplasmata archaeon. RNAcentral describes it as "tRNA-Ala". It matches the Rfam family "tRNA". From Rfam's summary of the family: Transfer RNA (tRNA) molecules are approximately 80 nucleotides in length. Lineage: Archaea; Methanobacteriati; Thermoplasmatota; Thermoplasmata. RNAcentral also lists the same sequence under 3 other names. The record is from RNAcentral.